This 493-nucleotide ribosomal RNA is filed under the name uncultured bacterium. RNAcentral's name for it is "partial 16S ribosomal RNA". It matches the Rfam family "Bacterial small subunit ribosomal RNA", at positions 28 to 507 of the family's 1533-position model. The record is from RNAcentral.
GACGAACGCUGGCGGCGUGCUUAACACAUGCAAGUCGAACGGUGAAGCGCCUUCCUUUUUGGUGGGUGUGGAUGAGUGGCGAACGGGUGAGUAACACGUGAGUAACCUGCCCCCUUCUUCUGGAUAACCGCAUGAAAGUGUGGCUAAUACGGGAUAUUCUGGGUCUGUCGCAUGAUGGGUCUGGGAAAGAUAUUGUUUCGGUGGGGGAUGGGCUCGCGGCCGAUCAGCUUGUUGGUGGGGUGAUGGCCUACCAAGGCGGUGACGGGUAGCCGGCCUGAGAGGGAGGACGGUCACACUGGGACUGAGACACGGCGGGACUCAGACGGGAGGCAGAAGUGGGGAAUAGUGCGCAGUGGGGGCAAGCCUGAUGCAGCGGCGCCGCGGGAGGGGUGGAGGCGUGCGGGUUGUGAACCUCUUUCGGCAGUGAAGCAGGCCUGCCUCGUUUGUGGGUGGGUUGACGGUAGCUGGAUAAGAAGCGCCGGCUAACUACGUG